CAGCCGCCGCGGUAAUACGUAGGGCGCAAGCGUUAUCCGGAAUUAUUGGGCGUAAAGAGCUCGUAGGCGGUUUGUCGCGUCUGCCGUGAAAGUCCGGGGCUCAACCCCGGAUCUGCGGCGGGUACGGGCAGACUAGAGUGAUGUAGGGGAGACUGGAAUUCCUGGUGUAGCGGUGGAAUGCGCAGAUAUCAGGAGGAACACCGAUGGCGAAGGCAGGUCUCUGGGCCGCAACUGACGCUGAGGAGCGAAAGCAUGGGGAGCGAACAGGAUUAGAUACCCGUGUAGUCCCUGUCUCUUAUAC
Molecule: ribosomal RNA, 301 nt
Filed under: uncultured bacterium
Lineage: Bacteria
Description: partial 16S ribosomal RNA
Rfam family: Bacterial small subunit ribosomal RNA
Source: RNAcentral